GAUAUAUGUAUUGUCAAGUGGAUAACUAUUGGCUUGAUCUUCAUUUAUGGAUGAUUCUGGUGACAUGGGCAAAUUUAACUCUAAUUCUACAAGCAAAUAUAAAUAAACUUUAUAUAACAACUUCAAAUAACGCGGCAAUUUCUUGUGAAUAGCGAGGCAAGAUCGACACGCUUACCUGUAUGUCAUUCGAUUUUCUACAACGUCGACGGAAAUUGAAUAAUAGCGAGACGACAGGACAAUUACCGUGAAUCCAUCGUGAUGAUUUCAAUAUCAUAAAUGGGACCAGGACGAAUUUUUCCGUGCGACGGCUGCCACUUUCGAAAUUGACUCGUUUUUUUUCCUCUCCAACCUCUCUUGAACAGGAUAUUAGAAGUCCGAUCUCGUUACAUUUCACGCUGUGACACCGGUGACUCAAUCGACCAAACGUUACCCUUCGUUUCCCAACUUUUUGUUUUUCUUCCUUCUUUCUUCCUUCUUUUUCUUUAUUUUUUUUUCUCGCACGCACCCACUCGUUGAUAAGUGUGUUUUGAAAAGAAACAUUGUAACGACGAUUUAUUUCGAACGUCAUACGUACGUCAAUCUAGAAGUUACAACUUCGAAGUUUAAAUGAAAGAGAAAUAGUUAUAAUGAUUUCAUAUCGAAAUAUCGUAUGCAAAAACACAAGUUUUCAGAUCAAUUAUGAAAGAAAAUUCGAAUGAAGAUGUCAAAAUCAGGAAUAUAUAAAUUAAUAAAAUAAGAAACAUAAAGUAAUUUGUAUUGAUUAUUGUAAUUCUAAUUUUAGAAUUUUUGUUAAAAUAAAUAUUUUUAUAUAUUUCGUUUACUUUCUUAUAUAUACAAAGUUUGAAAUUUAAUGUUUCUCCUAUUAAUAGAAAAUUUUUCUAUUAUAAAUAAAAUGUUAAAUAAUCGAAUUAGAUUUUAUGUAUUUCAUUUUAUCUAAGGCAAAAUUACUUAUAAAUAUAUUAUUUAAAGUUAUUUAUUAAUAAAUAAGAUAUUUUUACUAAUUUAUUAAUAGAAAUAAUAUUAUAUUAUUUUUGUAAUGUAUAUCAACUUUUCUUGUUUGUUUUGACUUUUAAAAUCGAUUCUUCAAAGAUAUAUUAAUAUUUUCCAUAGCUAAUCACAGAAUAUAUUCGUAUUCUACGUUACAAAAAUUUAACUUUUUUAACUUUUUAUUUUUAUUGAAACUUUAUGAAUAUCUAGAACAUAAUGGAUCAUAUAUAUGCCAUUUUGAAAAUGAAGAAAAUGAAAUCAACGAGUGUAAAGUUUCAAUAUUUUUUUGUUCUUUCAAAUAACUUUAUAAUGAUACAAGAUAGAGCAAAAGUAGAAAGUUUUAAAAUAUAAAAUAUUCGGUUUUUAACGCUCCAUUACUCUGUUAUGAAAAAUACUAAGAUUUCCUGUGGAUAAAUUUAUUACAAGCUUUCAAUAAGAAUUUUCAGAUAAGAUGAAUUUUCUUGUAAUGCAGAAUAUGAAUAUUUUCAACUAUGUUAAAUAUGCAUACGUUAUUCACUUGUUCGAUAGAAAUUAACGGAUUAUUAAUUGCAUUUAGAGGGAAGAAACAGGAAAUCAGAUUACAGGAUCUAUAAAAGCGAGAGAAAUUUAACAUGAUUUCACAGAACGUUAUCAGGGUUGUACGUUUGCCAGGAGAAUCAUCGCGCCGCGGUAAAAUAGAUUCCGGGCUAUGAAGGAACAAAUUCGCCGCAUUUAAGGAUAAUGUAUUGCUACUUGUGCUAUUUCUGUCGGCGAGUAAAUAACGCCGGUAAUCGCUUUGUCACGGGCGAUAAAACGAAGUUCUUUUGUCAUUGUUCCAUGCCGGAUUUAUAGUUUGACGUUCGCCCCUAACCACCAUUUUAUCUUUGAUUAAUGAACCGACUGAAUUUAUUUAAUAAUUAUACGUGUGUAUACACACGUGAUUCCAGUUUUUCUCUUCUUUUCACGAUUUUAUCUUAUAUGGAGUUAUAUAAACUCCCUUUUCAUCAUAAUUUCUUAAUUAAUUUUCCUUCUUUUUAACGUCUUUUUAACGAUAAACCUCAAAAGCACGAUGGCGGUUUUUGAGGCAAAGAACUGAAAGUGACUCUGAUUCGUUUUAUCGCCGAGAUAAUUUUUUGGUACGUAAUUAGAAUUUGUAAUACAUUACAGAACCGACUUAUAAUAUAUAUAUAUAUUGUUACACGCAUAUGAUUAAAAAGUAUUAUUGUGAAAAUAAUUAAACGUGUAACGUUUCUAUUUAAACAGAAGUUAAUAUUAAUUUUAAGCGCACUUUUUAAAAUUAUGAAAAUAAAAAUUUAAAAUUAA
Long non-coding RNA from Apis cerana (Asiatic honeybee), 2289 nucleotides. RefSeq lists it as uncharacterized. Lineage: Eukaryota; Metazoa; Arthropoda; Insecta; Hymenoptera; Apidae. The record is from RefSeq and is a predicted model, not a curated record.